RNAcentral lists this ribosomal RNA (822 nucleotides) under Triticum aestivum (bread wheat). RNAcentral's name for it is "partial small subunit ribosomal RNA". Lineage: Eukaryota; Viridiplantae; Streptophyta; Magnoliopsida; Poales; Poaceae. The record is from RNAcentral.
AUGAACAUUGCCCUCCUGACUAGGUGGCUUUGGCGGAUUACGAACGCAGAGGGUGGCUUAUGGCUCCGCAUCAUCCAGCAGAAAUACCUCCAUGGCCAGCUGCUCGCCUUCUGUCAGCGGUCCGGUGGCUCCCAGUUCUGGCAAUCCAUCAUACAGCUCCUCCCAUUCCUCCGCAUCGGGACCUCGAUUGCGGUUGGAUCUGGCACCGCCACGCUGUUUUGGUUCGAUCGCUGGGUUGGGGAUGCCCCCUUCACGGCUCGUUUUCCUGACCUGUUCACCAUCGCGGUAGACCCGCGGAUUUCUGUCGCGUUGGCCCUUAUUGACUUAGGGCAACUCGCGUUCCGGAGACCAUUUGGACCGGCUGAGAAUGUUGAUUGGCAUGACUUGCUCGACUGCAUCGCGCUGCAUGAGCCUGAGCUAGAUGUGGGAGAUGAAUGCACCAGACGACGCCUAGAGCCAUCGGGUCUAUUCUCCACUAAAUCACUCUACCAGGCUAUCGCCCCCUCUCCGGGACCCGAGGCUCUUACCACCAUCUGCGAGAUCCGGCUCCCCUUGAAAAUUAGGAUUUUCUUGUGGCAAUGGAUCCGCGGCCGCCUUCCGUCCAGCGUGGAGGUCCUGAAACGCAACGGCCCUGGCGAUGGGCGUUGCCCGCUCUGCGGGCCUGAAGAGGAUUCGAACCAUAUCUUCUUCACAUGCGUGUCCGCACAGUUUCUCUGGAGCUGUUUUCGUGAAAUAGUGGGUGAAAGCUGGGACCACAACAACUUCCCCUCUCUCUCUCUCCGCCGAACUCCAGGCGUUACCACCCUCGUCUCGCCACAUUAG